This 253-nucleotide ribosomal RNA is filed under the name uncultured bacterium. RNAcentral describes it as "partial 16S ribosomal RNA". It matches the Rfam family "Bacterial small subunit ribosomal RNA", at positions 524 to 776 of the family's 1533-position model. The record is from RNAcentral.
UACGGAGGAUCCGAGCGUUAUCCGGAUUUAUUGGGUUUAGAGGGAGCGUAGGCGGGUUGUUAAGUCAGUUGUGAAAGUUUGCGGCUCAACCGUAAAAUUGCAGUUGAUACUGGCAUCCUUGAGUACAGUAGAGGUAGGCGGAAUUCGUGGUGUAGCGGUGAAAUGCUUAGAUAUCACGAAGAACUCCGAUUGCGAAGGCAGCCUGCUGGACUGUAACUGACACUGAGGCUCGAAAGCGUGGGGAGCAAACAGG